UAGGGAAUCUUCCACAAUGGACGCAAGUCUGAUGGAGCAACGCCGCGUGAGUGAAGAAGGCUUUCGGGUCGUAAAACUCUGUUAUUGAAGAAGAACGUGCGUGACAGUAACUGGUCAUGCAGUGACGGUAUUCAAUCAGAAAGUCACGGCUAACUACGUGCCAGCAGCCGCGGUAAUACGUAGGUGGCAAGCGUUGUCCGGAUUUAUUGGGCGUAAAGCGAGUGCAGGCGGUCUUUUAAGUCUGAUGUGAAAGCCUUCGGCUUAACCGAAGAAGGGCAUCGGAAACUGGGAGACUUGAGUGCAGAAGAGGAGAGUGGAACUCCAUGUGUAGCGGUGAAAUGCGUAGAUAUAUGGAAGAACACCAGUGGCGAAGGCGGCUCUCUGGUCUGUAACUGACGCUGAGGCUCGAAAGCGUGGGUAGCAAACAGGAUUAGAUACCCUGGUAGUCCACGCCGUAAACGAUGAAUA
This 468-nucleotide ribosomal RNA is filed under the name uncultured bacterium. RNAcentral's name for it is "partial 16S ribosomal RNA". It matches the Rfam family "Bacterial small subunit ribosomal RNA", at positions 355 to 815 of the family's 1533-position model. The record is from RNAcentral.